UCUACGGGUGGCAGCAGUGAGGAAUAUUGGUCAAUGGGCGGGAGCCUGAACCAGCCAAGUCGCGUGAGGGAAGACGGUCCUACGGAUUGUAAACCUCUUUUGCCGGGGAGCAACGGGGUCCUUGCGAGGGCCCGAUGAGAGUACCCGGAGAAAAAGCAUCGGCUAACUCCGUGCCAGCAGCCGCGGUAAUACGGGGUAUGCGAGGGGUAUCCGGAUUUAUUGGGUUUAAAGGGUGCGUAGGCGGUCCGUUAAGUCAGCGGUAAAAUUGCGGGGCUCAACCCCGUCGAGCCGUUGAAACUGGCAGACUUGAGUUGGCGAGAGGUACGCGGAAUGCGCGGUGUAGCGGUGAAAUGCAUAGAUAUCGCGCAGAACUCCGAUUGCGAAGGCAGCGUACCGGCGCCAGACUGACGCUGAGGCACGAAAGCGUGGGGAUCGAACAGGAUUAGAUACCCGUGUAGUC
RNAcentral lists this ribosomal RNA (460 nucleotides) under uncultured bacterium. RNAcentral's name for it is "partial 16S ribosomal RNA". It matches the Rfam family "Bacterial small subunit ribosomal RNA", at positions 338 to 795 of the family's 1533-position model. The record is from RNAcentral.